UACGUAGGGUGCGAGCGUUAAUCGGAAUUACUGGGCGUAAAGCGUGCGCAGGCGGAUUGUUAAGCAAGAUGUGAAAUCCCCGGGCUUAACCUGGGAAUGGCAUUUUGAACUGGCAGUCUAGAGUGUGUCAGAGGGGGGUGGAAUUACACGUGGAGCAGUGAAAUGCGUAGAUCGGUGGAGGAAAACCAAUGGCGACGGCAGACCCCUGGGAUAACACUGACGCUCAUGUACGCAAGCGUGGGUAGCCAACAGGAUUAGAUACCCCCGUAGUCC
RNAcentral lists this ribosomal RNA (273 nucleotides) under uncultured bacterium. RNAcentral's name for it is "partial 16S ribosomal RNA". It matches the Rfam family "Bacterial small subunit ribosomal RNA", at positions 524 to 796 of the family's 1533-position model. The record is from RNAcentral.